UCUUGGGAAAUUUCAUCGUGAUGGGGAUAGAUCAUUGCAAUUGUUGGUCUUCAACGAGGAAUGCCUAGUAAGCGCGAGUCAUCAGCUCGCGUUGACUACGUCCCUGCCCUUUGUACACACCGCCCGUCGCUCCUACCGAUUGAAUGGUCCGGUGAAGUGUUCGGAUCGCGGCGACGGGGGCGGUUCGCCGCCCCCGACGUCGCGAGAAGUCCAUUGAACCUUAUCAUUUAGAGGAAGGAGAAGUCGUAACAAGGUUUCCGUAGGUGAACCUGCGGAAGGAUCAUUG
This 286-nucleotide ribosomal RNA is filed under the name Anthoxanthum nitens. RNAcentral describes it as "partial 18S ribosomal RNA". It matches the Rfam family "Eukaryotic small subunit ribosomal RNA", at positions 1550 to 1831 of the family's 1831-position model. Lineage: Eukaryota; Viridiplantae; Streptophyta; Magnoliopsida; Poales; Poaceae. The record is from RNAcentral. RNAcentral also lists the same sequence under 6 other names.